UAUUGUGGUGGUUUCUUUGUUUGGCAGAUCUGUAAUUGUAUCAGAGCAGCCUGAAACUACCACAGAGAUCAAAAAGGAGGGGAGGCUGUGCUGAGAACUUUUUCAGGCUCUUAGUUCUCAGCUUUUUAUUCAACUCCUAUAAAA
Molecule: small nucleolar RNA, 144 nt
Organism: Pavo cristatus (Indian peafowl)
Lineage: Eukaryota; Metazoa; Chordata; Aves; Galliformes; Phasianidae
Source: Ensembl